UGUAUCCAUUUAGAGAUUUUCCAGAGUAAAAGUCCCUGGAAGUGUACGAUUCAACUUCUUCCCAUGGUCUGGUGUUAAAAAAGUUAACACAAUAAAUUGUAAUAUCGAGUCGCAAUACUUAAUAUUUAAAAAUCGCAAAACAUAUCGUAUUGGCACCCAAGCGUAUGAGGGGUGGAUAUAACAACAAUUUAUUAAUAAAAUGGAGGUGAUGAAAAUGCAAACGAAUUGAAAAAUGGAGCCAUAAAAAUGGAUGGGAAAUGAAAAAUUGUGUUAAAUUAUGAAAUGAUUUGAUCAAUUUAAAGCUGAUUUGACUAGAACAGUCAUGAUAGGAUGAAAGCAGAGCCAUGUUUCAUCAUUUACACCAUCUUGCAUUCAUCAUUCACAACACAAAGUUGACAUUUAACAUUUAAGGAAAGUGGCCUCAAGGGUGGGAGUA
Molecule: long non-coding RNA, 436 nt
Organism: Sebastes umbrosus (honeycomb rockfish)
Lineage: Eukaryota; Metazoa; Chordata; Actinopteri; Perciformes; Sebastidae
Exons: 3
Source: RefSeq, a predicted model, not a curated record